Molecule: unclassified non-coding RNA, 395 nt
Filed under: uncultured bacterium
Lineage: Bacteria
Description: contains 16S-23S intergenic spacer region
Source: RNAcentral
UCCUGGUCUCACCCAGGCAGUUUCUAUAGAGUGCUCACCAUGAUGUGUUAGCAACUAAAGAUGGGGGUUAUGUUCGUUCUGGGACUUAGCCCAACACCUCACGGCACGAACUGACGACAGUCAUGUAGCACCUGUGCACGGGCCCUUAGAGGAAACCCCUAAGAGAGAUACCGUUUCCGGUACUGUCUCGUGCAUGUCAAGCCCAGGUAAGGUUCUUCGUGUUGCAUCGAAUUAAACCCCAUGCUCCACCGCUUGUGUGGAUCCCCGCCAAUUCUUUUGAGUUUCAGCCUUGCGGCCGUACUCCCCAGGCGGCAUACUUAACGCGUAAGCUUGGACACGGCAGGUCGUUGACUCUCCUACCACAUCGAGUAUGCAUCGUUUACGGCGUGGACUAC